AGCGGCAGGCGGGUGAGUAACACGUAGGUGACCUGCCCUAAAGAUGGGGACAACGGAUGGAAACAUGCGCUAAUACCCAAUGGACCUGUACUGUCGAAGGUAUAGGUAAAGUUUCGGCGCUUUAGGAGGGGCCUGCGGCCCAUCAGCUAGUUGGUAGGGUAACGGCCUACCAAGGCAAAGACGGGUAGGGGGUGUGAGAGCAUGACCCCCCACAAUGGGACUGAGACACGGCCCAUACUCCUACGGGAGGCAGCAGCAGGGAAUAUUGCACAAUGGACGGAAGUCUGAUGCAGCGACGCCGCGUGGAUGAUGAAGGCCCUCGGGUCGUAAAAUCCUUUUCAGGGGGAAGAGGAAGGACGGUACCCCUGGAAUAAGCGUCGGCUAACUACGUGCCAGCAGCCGCGGUAAGACGUAGGACGCAAGCGUUAUCCGGAUUUACUGGGCGUAAAGCGUCUGUAGGCGGUUGGGUAAGUUGGGCGUGAAAGCUCCGUGCUCAACGCGGAGAGGUCGUUCAAUACUGCCGAACUAGAGGACAUCAGAGGAGCAUGGAAUUUCCGGUGUAGCGGUAAAAUGCGCAGAUAUCGGAAGGAACACCAGUGGCGAAGGCGGUGCUCUGGGGUGUGCCUGACGCUGAGAGACGAAAGCUAGGGGAGCGAACAGGAUUAGAGACCCUGGUAGUCCUAGCCCUAAACGAUGGAUGCUAGAUGUGGGGCCGAGAAGGCUCCGUGUCGCAG
Molecule: ribosomal RNA, 734 nt
Filed under: uncultured organism
Description: bacterial SSU rRNA
Rfam family: Bacterial small subunit ribosomal RNA
Source: RNAcentral